AAUGUAAAAUAUUGCAUCUGAGCUUUCAAGAAACAAGUUGCACACAGGAGACUUGCUGUGAAGGAGCUGUUGAAAUGUAAGGUGCUAAGACUUUUAUAACAAGGUAACCACAUACAUUGAGCCUUCAGUAUGAUUGAUUGUGGUUUUGGUAGGUUUUUUGUGGUUUUCCUUUUUUUUUUUCUUUGCAGCGGUGAUGUAUUGUAUUUUGCUUUGUUUUCUGAGACAAACCUGCAGCUGGAUUGUAGGAGGCAAAAAAGAGACAACUUGAACUGCUGACUGUUUCAGCGAGGUUAAGGGUGCAAGGAACAUCUCAUAUUUCAUCGUCCCUCCAAAGAUCAACUGGAGAGAUUGAGAAGAGCAAGUGGGAAUCAGGUCUGCCACCAGCAUUCCCAGCUGAAACUGCUUGUGAACUGGAGCAUUGUAGGACUUGAUCUCUGCUUUUUUUGCAACUAUCUGAUUAUACUGAAUGGAUUUUGGAGAUCAUCAAAGUAUGCAGGAUGGACAGCACAUCUACUCUUGGAGAGAUGAUGAUGGAAUGAAUCGACCUCUGAAGAUGCCUAAGAUGGAAGAAUCACAAAUCAAGCAUUUAGAUGGCAAAGUUAGAAUGCUGCCAAGGUCAUUCUUGUCAUACUCUGCCAGUUACUUAAUCAGGAGUUUCCAAUGUCAGCAGUAAAAACCAUGUCACUGCAGAAUGCAGAAAGGUGGGGAAAAAUAGAGGAAUGAAAAGAGCAAUGCCUCUCAGCAUACGCUACAACUGAUCUAACUUUGAAGUUGGAUCUGACCUCAAUGUGAGCCUUAUUUGGAGCAGCAGGUUGGCCGAGAUGGCUUCCAGAGGAUUCCUCUCAUUUGAGUCAUUCUGUGCUUCUACAAUAUCACCGUUCAGGUUUACAAAUCAUGAAGAUUACAGGACUGGAUUAUAAUUUCAGUUUUCCAUAUAAACACAACAUAUCUUGGACUACACUACCAAGUGUAUAGAAAUUAAUUUCCACAGUAUUUUCAACAGUAAUAGAAACAUUACAGUCAUAAAUUGUUUAUUGAAGCUACCAGUGAAAUGUAUCAAAGAUAGCUGUCUGAGGCUAUAUGAUCACCAGAACUCUGCAUGCUGUAAAAAAGAAAUAAUUAAAAUGAAGCUGAAACACAUGGAAAUAGACUCAAGGAACAUAUGUCAAUAAAAA
This is a long non-coding RNA of Harpia harpyja (harpy eagle), 1175 nucleotides long. RefSeq lists it as uncharacterized. The record is from RefSeq and is a predicted model, not a curated record. Lineage: Eukaryota; Metazoa; Chordata; Aves; Accipitriformes; Accipitridae. The transcript has 3 exons.